Molecule: ribosomal RNA, 500 nt
Filed under: uncultured bacterium
Lineage: Bacteria
Description: partial 16S ribosomal RNA
Rfam family: Bacterial small subunit ribosomal RNA
Source: RNAcentral
AUUGAACGCUGGCGGCAUGCCUUACACAUGCAAGUCGAACGGCAGCACGGGAGCAAUCCUGGUGGCGAGUGGCGAACGGGUGAGUAAAGUAUCGGAACGUGCCCAGUCGUGGGGGAUAACGUAGCGAAAGUUACGCUAAUACCGCAUACGAUCUAUGGAUGAAAGCGGGGGAUCGCAAGACCUCGCGCGAUUGGAGCGGCCGAUAUCAGAUUAGGUAGUUGGUGGGGUAAAGGCUCACCAAGCCGACGAUCUGUAGCUGGUCUGAGAGGACGACCAGCCAGACUGGGACUGAGACACGGCCCAGACUCCUACGGGAGGCAGCAGUGGGGAAUUUUGGACAAUGGGCGAAGGCCUGAUCCAGCCAUGCGGCGUGCAGGAUGAAGGCCUUCGGGUUGUAAACUGCUUUUGUACGGAACGAAAAGGUUUGGCCUAAUAAGCUGAGCUCAUGACGGUACCGUAAGAAUAAGCACCGGCUAACUACGUGCCAGCAGCCGCCGUAA